Molecule: non-coding RNA, 74 nt
Organism: Potamilus streckersoni
Lineage: Eukaryota; Metazoa; Mollusca; Bivalvia; Unionida; Unionidae
Source: the annotation of a GenBank genome assembly
AGCUCUAGUGGCCUAUUGGUAGGAGCAUCCGCUUCGGAUGCGUGAGGUCGUGGGUUCGAACCCCACCCGAGUCA